Molecule: non-coding RNA, 824 nt
Organism: Phascolarctos cinereus (koala)
Lineage: Eukaryota; Metazoa; Chordata; Mammalia; Diprotodontia; Phascolarctidae
Source: RefSeq, a predicted model, not a curated record
CUGAUUAAAACUGCCACACUGAUGGGUAGAAGGAAUAAUUCAGUCAAAGCAAGGAUGAAGAAGACUUCAGAAAGAUUAUCACCUUGUAGCCAGUCAGACCAGCUUAUCAUCAAAUAUUUGGUGAAAGGAAAAGCCUGAAUGAAAUGAAUACAACCUUACAGGCAGAUUUGAAAAAUACCAACAAGCACAAAAUUUCCAUGUGAAAAUAUAUCACAGAGGUUCUGGACUCAAUUUAUCAAUUCCUACUUUGACUGCCUUGCCAAAAUAUUUUAGUGCCCACAUCAGAGACCACAAGCCCUAGAGAUUUUUCACCUUUUCAUCUCUGGAAUUUCUGCUCUGAGGCCCCUCUGUCCUGACUGGAAAAGGUUGAAACGUGGAGAUUGUCUUCAUGCAUCAUGUUGUAUACUUGAGCUUAUUAGCCCCAAAGAAGAAAGGGCCUCUUCGCCAGGUUCCAGAGGUAUUGGACAGUGUUCUCCAAGAGCAUGAAAGGACCUACAAGGUUUUUUAUAUGGAGCAGCACACGAGAUAAUGUUUCAAAUCAAGUUGAAUUCCAGAAACUGCAAAAGUCACUGGGCUCGAGGCAAACCACUUAACCAAGGGGAAAUAAGGUGAUUAACUGUGUAGACAACCACCAGUCCCACGGGUUCAGAAAGGAUUGGAAGGAGGACCAGGCAGCAUCCGUCUGUCUUUGAGCUCAGAUCAGGCUUAACUCCAACCUUGAAUUUGAAUUUGGAAGACAGUUGCUGUUACAUUGACUUUGUUAUCCCCACCUGCAUUUCUUCUCUUUUCUGUAGCAUGCUGUAACAUGUAAAUAAAGGCACGAU